UGAGGAAUAUUGGUCAAUGGGCGCAAGCCUGAACCAGCCAUCCCGCGUGAAGGAAGAAGGCGCUAUGCGUCGUAAACUUCUUUUUCAGGGGAAGAAUGUUGGGUACGUGUACCCAAUUGCCGGUACCCUAUGAAUAAGCAUCGGCUAACUCCGUGCCAGCAGCCGCGGUAAUACGGAGGAUGCGAGCGUUAUCCGGAUUUAUUGGGUUUAAAGGGUGCGUAGGCGGAUUGAUAAGUCAGUGGUGAAAUCCUGCAGCUUAACUGUAGCAUUGCCGUUGAUACUGUCAGUCGUGAGUAUGGUUAAGGUAGGCGGAAUGUGUAAUGUAGCGGUGAAAUGCUUAGAUAUUACACAGAACACCGAUUGCGAAGGCAGCUUACUGAACCAUAACUGACGCUGAGGCACGAAAGCGUGGGGAGCGAACA
Molecule: ribosomal RNA, 422 nt
Filed under: uncultured prokaryote
Description: bacterial SSU rRNA
Rfam family: Bacterial small subunit ribosomal RNA
Source: RNAcentral